This 455-nucleotide ribosomal RNA is filed under the name uncultured bacterium. RNAcentral describes it as "partial 16S ribosomal RNA". It matches the Rfam family "Bacterial small subunit ribosomal RNA", at positions 355 to 803 of the family's 1533-position model. The record is from RNAcentral.
UGGGGAAUAUUGCACAAUGGGCGCAAGCCUGAUGCAGCCAUGCCGCGUGUGUGAAGAAGGCCUUCGGGUUGUAAAGCACUUUCAGCGAGGAGGAAGGUGGUGAGCUUAAUACGCUCAUCAAUUGACGUUACUCGCAGAAGAAGCACCGGCUAACUCCGUGCCAGCAGCCGCGGUAAUACGGAGGGUGCAAGCGUUAAUCGGAAUUACUGGGCGUAAAGCGCACGCAGGCGGUUUGUUAAGUCAGNUGUGAAAUCCCCGGGCUCAACCUGGGAACUGCAUUUGAAACUGGCAAGCUAGAGUCUCGUAGAGGGGGGUAGAAUUCCAGGUGUAGCGGUGAAAUGCGUAGAGAUCUGGAGGAAUACCGGUGGCGAAGGCGGCCCCCUGGACGAAGACUGACGCUCAGGUGCGAAAGCGUGGGGAGCAAACAGAUUAGAUACCCUGGUAGUCCACGCUGU